This 495-nucleotide ribosomal RNA is filed under the name uncultured bacterium. RNAcentral describes it as "partial 16S ribosomal RNA". It matches the Rfam family "Bacterial small subunit ribosomal RNA", at positions 28 to 507 of the family's 1533-position model. The record is from RNAcentral.
GACGAACGCUGGCGGCGUGCCUAAUACAUGCAAGUAGAACGCUGAAGGAGGAGCUUGCUUCUCUGGAUGAGUUGCGAACGGGUGAGUAACGCGUAGGUAACCUGCCUGGUAGCGGGGGAUAACUAUUGGAAACGAUAGCUAAUACCGCAUAAGAGUAGAUGUUGCAUGACAUUUGCUUAAAAGGUGCAAUUGCAUCACUACCAGAUGGACCUGCGUUGUAUUAGCUAGUUGGUGGGGUAACGGCUCACCAAGGCGACGAUACAUAGCCGACCUGAGAGGGUGAUCGGCCACACUGGGACUGAGACACGGCCCAGACUCCUACGGGAGGCAGCAGUAGGGAAUCUUCGGCAAUGGACGGAAGUCUGACCGAGCAACGCCGCGUGAGUGAAGAAGGUUUUCGGAUGGUAAAGCUCUGUUGUAAGAGAAGAACGAGUGUGAGAGUGGAAAGUUCACACUGUGACGGUAUCUUACCAGAAAGGGACGGCUAACUACGUG